UGGGGAAUAUUGCACAAUGGGGGAAACCCUGAUGCAGCCAUGCCGCGUGUGUGAAGAAGGCCUUCGGGUUGUAAAGCACUUUCAGCGGGGAGGAAGGGCAGUAAGCUAAUACCUUGCUGCAUUGACGUUACCCGCAGAAGAAGCACCGGCUAACUCCGUGCCAGCAGCCGCGGUAAUACGGAGGGUGCAAGCGUUAAUCGGAAUUACUGGGCGUAAAGCGCACGCAGGCGGUUGGAUAAGCUAGAUGUGAAAGCCCCGGGCUCAACCCGGGAACUGCAUUUAGAACUGUCCGACUAGAGUCUUGUAGAGGGGGGUAGAAUUCCAGGUGUAGCGGUGAAAUGCGUAGAGAUCUGGAGGAAUACCGGUGGCGAAGGCGGCCCCCUGGACAAAGACUGACGCU
Molecule: ribosomal RNA, 400 nt
Filed under: uncultured bacterium
Lineage: Bacteria
Description: bacterial SSU rRNA
Rfam family: Bacterial small subunit ribosomal RNA
Source: RNAcentral